RNAcentral lists this RNase P RNA (301 nucleotides) under uncultured Peptoniphilus sp. RNAcentral's name for it is "Bacterial RNase P class A". It matches the Rfam family "Bacterial RNase P class A", at positions 36 to 363 of the family's 367-position model. Rfam says of the family: Ribonuclease P (RNase P) is a ubiquitous endoribonuclease, found in archaea, bacteria and eukarya as well as chloroplasts and mitochondria. Its best characterised activity is the generation of mature 5'-ends of tRNAs by cleaving the 5'-leader elements of precursor-tRNAs. Cellular RNase Ps are ribonucleoproteins. Lineage: Bacteria; Bacillati; Bacillota; Tissierellia; Tissierellales; Peptoniphilaceae. The record is from RNAcentral.
CAAGUGUGAGGAAAGUCUGCGCUCCACAGAGCAAGGAUGCUUGUUAACGGCAAGUGGGGGCGACCCUAAGGCCAGUGCAACAGAAAUAUACCGCCAUUUAUGGUAAGGGUGGAAAGGCGAGGUAAGAGCUCACCGGAUUAUUAGUGAUAAUAAUGCCAUGUAAACCCCAUCCGGAGCAAGACCGAUUAGGACUAACAGAUGUUGCUCGCAUCUGCCGGUAGGUAGGUCGCUAGAAACUAUUGGUGACAAUAGUUCAAGAUAGAUAGUUGACUAAACAGAACGCAGCUUAUAGACUUGCUUG